AGUGAACGCUGGCGGUAGGCCUAACACAUGCAAGUCGAACGGCAGCACAGAGGAGCUUGCUCCUUGGGUGGCGAGUGGCGGACGGGUGAGGAAUACAUCGGAAUCUACUCUAUCGUGGGGGAUAACGUAGGGAAACUUACGCUAAUACCGCAUACGACCUACGGGUGAAAGCAGGGGAUCUUCGGACCUUGCGCGAUUGAAUGAGCCGAUGUCGGAUUAGCUAGUUGGCGGGGUAAAGGCCCACCAAGGCGACGAUCCGUAGCUGGUCUGAGAGGAUGAUCAGCCACACUGGAACUGAGACACGGUCCAGACUCCUACGGGAUGCAGCAGUGGGAAAUAUUGGACAAUGGGCGCAAGCCUGAUCCAGCCAUACCGCGUGGGUGAAGAAGGCCUUCGGGUUGUAAAGCCCUUUUGUUGGGAAAGAAAUCCAUCUGGUUAAUACCCGGGUGGGAUGACGGUACCCAAAGAAUAAGCACCGGCUAACUUCGUGCCAGCAGCAGCCGCAG
This 506-nucleotide ribosomal RNA is filed under the name uncultured bacterium. RNAcentral describes it as "partial 16S ribosomal RNA". It matches the Rfam family "Bacterial small subunit ribosomal RNA", at positions 29 to 523 of the family's 1533-position model. The record is from RNAcentral.